CCUACGGGAGGCAGCAGUGAGGAAUAUUGGUCAAUGGGCGUAAGCCUGAACCAGCCAAGUCGCGUGAGGGAUGAAGGUUCUAUGGAUCGUAAACCUCUUUUAUAAGGGAAUAAAGUGUGGGACGUGUCCUGUUUUGUAUGUACCUUAUGAAUAAGGAUCGGCUAACUCCGUGCCAGCAGCAGCGGUAAUACGGAGGAUCCGAGCGUUAUCCGGAUUUAUUGGGUUUAAAGGGUGCGUAGGCGGCCUUUUAAGUCAGCGGUGAAAGUCUGUGGCUCAACCAUAGAAUUGCCGUUGAAACUGGGAGGCUUGAGUAUGUUUGAGGCGGGCGGAAUGCGUGGUGUAGCGGUGAAAUGCUUAGAUAUCACGCAGAACCCCGAUUGCGAAGGCAGCCUGCCAAGCCAUGACUGACGCUGAUGCACGAAAGCGUGGGGAUCAAACAGGAUUAGAUACCCGGGUAGUC
This 460-nucleotide ribosomal RNA is filed under the name uncultured bacterium. Its description in RNAcentral is "partial 16S ribosomal RNA". It matches the Rfam family "Bacterial small subunit ribosomal RNA", at positions 338 to 795 of the family's 1533-position model. The record is from RNAcentral.